UGCUUUGGAUUAAGUACCAUAUGGUGUUUU
This 30-nucleotide non-coding RNA is filed under the name Rattus norvegicus (Norway rat). The record is from RNAcentral. Lineage: Eukaryota; Metazoa; Chordata; Mammalia; Rodentia; Muridae.